AGUGAACGCUGGCGGUAGGCCUAACACAUGCAAGUCGAACGGCAGCACAGUAAGAGCUUGCUCUUACGGGUGGCGAGUGGCGGACGGGUGAGGAAUACAUCGGAAUCUACUUUUUCGUGGGGGAUAACGUAGGGAAACUUACGCUAAUACCUCAUACGACCUACGGGUGACAGCAGGGGAUCUUCGGACCUUGCGCGAUUGAAUGAGCCGAUGUCGGAUUAGCUAGUUGGCGGGGUAAAGGCCCACCAAGGCGACGAUCCGUAGCUGGUCUGAGAGGAUGAUCAGCCACACUGGAACUGAGACACGGUCCAGGCUCCUACGGGAGGCAGCAGUGGGGAAUAUUGGACAAUGGGCGCAAGCCUGAUCCAGCCAUACCGUGUGGGUGAAGAAGGCCUUCGGGUUGUAAAGCCCUUUUGUUGGGAAAGAAAAGCAGCAGGUUAAUACCCCGCUGUUCUGACGGUACCCAAAGAAUAAGCACCGGCUAACUUCGUG
RNAcentral lists this ribosomal RNA (492 nucleotides) under uncultured bacterium. Its description in RNAcentral is "partial 16S ribosomal RNA". It matches the Rfam family "Bacterial small subunit ribosomal RNA", at positions 29 to 507 of the family's 1533-position model. The record is from RNAcentral.